Long non-coding RNA from Drosophila sulfurigaster albostrigata, 1109 nucleotides. RefSeq lists it as uncharacterized. The transcript has 7 exons. The record is from RefSeq and is a predicted model, not a curated record. Lineage: Eukaryota; Metazoa; Arthropoda; Insecta; Diptera; Drosophilidae.
UGCAGAGCUGAGUUUGCCAGCCGUACAACAUGGCGUAUGAAUGCUUUGCGAGUUUGUUUGACAAGCAAAAGGAAAACAGGAGCUUUGAUUCAAUGAGCAGCUUAAUAAGCAAUCUUCAAGCAGAUCCUCUUUGAACCAGUGUCAUUCUGUUGAAGGUAAACAUUAUGAUAUACACUUGCAUUUGAUUUGAAAACAACCCCGAAAAACUCGAAAACAAACUGGCAAAAAGUGUAGCAUACUUUUUGGCGCAGCAUAUAUUCACUUGCAUUUGAUUUGAAAACAACACCGAAAAACUCGAAAACAAACUGGCAACAAAAAAUGUUGCAUACUUUUUUGGGCAGCAUAUAUACACUUGCAUUUGAUUUGAAAACAACCCCGAAAAACUGGAACAAAAAGUGCAGCAUACUUUUUUGGGCAGCAUACCGGCAUCUGGCACUUGGCACUGACUUCUGCCCGAAGGAGACAAGGAGUCACAGGAGUCAGAGGAGUCGCUGGAGACGUGCAGCUGCCAGAGGCGACUCUCAGUCGCACUGACUUUGCACAAUUAAUGGCGGCCAAGCAACCGGUCGAAAUAACCAGGAGCAGGGGAAGGAGCGAAGAGGAGGGAGGAUGCCUAUUACCCAGCCACGCCCCCUGCCAAUGUCGGAAGGAGCCGCGCGCAAUUAUUGCGCCAUUGUGUGAGAACCUUUGCCAAGUGUCUGUGUCACCGCUAAAUUUAACAUAAUCCUGGAACGUCGCCGACGACCCGUCGCGGUACUCGUUUAAUGCUCUCAUUUCGCCAGCUGACGCGGCAUCGCUGCUGCUGCUUCUGCUGCUGCUCUGCCUGCUGUCCCAUAGGUCCUUGAAUGUCUUUGUCCUGCGAUAAAUCGCCAGCCUGAAAGUAUGCAAAGGAAAUUAUUACUUGCACUCAACUCAUUGUCAUGAAAGUAUGCAAUUCAAUUGGUAUUUCGAUUUUAAAUGGACACCCUAAAAGUAUGCAAUACAAUUCAAAUUAUGUGCUUAAAUCAACAUACUAAAAGUAUGCACUCUUAUCUCAAUUAUGUAUUAAAAUCCCCAUCCUAAAAGUAUGCCAUAGAGAAGUUCAUGCUGCCAACUUCGCAUUACCACUA